AGGGACUCUCCUUCCUGGUGUGCUCUUUUCCAGUGGCCAGUGGGUGAGCAUGUGGUAGAGCCUGGAAGUGUUCAUGUGGCAGCCCUCAUGUUUCAGCAGCACCUCACACCCUCCUCCUGCAAGCUUCUCCCCACUGCAACACUGCGUCCCGUGGUCAGCUGCUACCCGGGCCCCCUGGGUCAGAAGGAAACCAAGCCCUGAUACGAAGCAGCCUGUAUUAAAGCACUUCUAGUUCUGGAGGCUGGAAAUCCACAAUCAAGGAGACGGCCAGCGCGGCUAUCUGAAUUUGUAUUGUCCUAAGCUGUGAACUAGCUCAAAGCUGAAAACUCUGAAGGACCAAUCCUCUAGCAACAGGGAUACCCUCUACUCCAUUUUGAAGAAAAUCUGAUGAAAAUUUAAGGGAUUUUGUGUCCAAGUUGGGCGCUCUCUCCUUCACUAUUUGAAUCUGCCUUUCAAAAAGUCAUUUGGAAUUGAACAGUUUACAUCAAAAUUACAUUCCUAACGGAUUCUAGUUUGUCCUUCAAAUGAAAUUAGGUGUAUUUAUAGAGAAUUCUGUUAAUGCAUGUAGUAUUAGGUGUUUAGGUUUAGCAUAAUAAAGGCUAAUGCAAUACAGAGUUCCAAUAACAUUAUGUUUUAAUCUAAUGGGGCAAUAUUCUAAACAACAAACAUCAGAAAUGUUAACAAGCAAUUCAUUUAUUUUUUUGAGACAGGGUCUCAUUCUGUCACCCAGGCUGCAGUUGCAGUGGCAUGAUUUUGGCUCAC
This is a long non-coding RNA of Cercocebus atys (sooty mangabey), 762 nucleotides long. RefSeq lists it as uncharacterized. The transcript is spliced from 4 exons. Lineage: Eukaryota; Metazoa; Chordata; Mammalia; Primates; Cercopithecidae. The record is from RefSeq and is a predicted model, not a curated record.